UAAGAUUUGUUAAUCUUCAGUUAAAGCCUC
This 30-nucleotide non-coding RNA is filed under the name Mus musculus (house mouse). Lineage: Eukaryota; Metazoa; Chordata; Mammalia; Rodentia; Muridae. The record is from RNAcentral.